GAGAAAUAUAUGACUAUUCUCUGUGAUGUGUAUAUGCCACUUAGUGCUCAAUCAGUACAAAAAACAGAGACCAGAAAUAUAGCAUAUCACAUGGUAUGCCAGUGGGCGGAGCUACUCUGUCAAUUUUAAUCCCUAAACUGCAGGAUGCCCCUUGAAAACUGGACACCACUGACUGACAGAUAGCACCUCCCUACAGACCAACACAUGCAUCCCAAACAGUGCCUCUCCAAGAUGGCUACCUUGUUUCAGGUUUCCCGUUCAACAAUAGCGCCUUCCAGACAGCAGUAUGUUGGGCCCAACACAGAGGCCCAACCAAAUACACCACAAAACCCCUUUGAGGUGGUGAUUAUGGAAAGAGGAGUAAAGGUGGAAAAGUUGUGAUGAUGGGAGAAAACAAAGGGAACAUUUCCUGUCUGAACCUUCCCCAAUACUAACUUCUCCACACACCAGAUACCUCUUACCCACCCCACUUAGUCGGUCUCCAAAAAAAUAGGGUUCUUUCAGAGCCUACUGUGAGACUCUCCCCUUUGUCUUCACCCAGACACUCUACCCCAACAUCCCCAGCCAUCCCCCCACUCUUGUACCGG
RNAcentral lists this long non-coding RNA (587 nucleotides) under Salmo salar (Atlantic salmon). Its description in RNAcentral is "lncRNA (ENSSSAG00000100104.1, ENSSSAG00020061373.1)". Lineage: Eukaryota; Metazoa; Chordata; Actinopteri; Salmoniformes; Salmonidae. The record is from RNAcentral.